RNAcentral lists this unclassified non-coding RNA (274 nucleotides) under Hevea brasiliensis (rubber tree). Lineage: Eukaryota; Viridiplantae; Streptophyta; Magnoliopsida; Malpighiales; Euphorbiaceae. The record is from RNAcentral.
GAUACCUGCAAUCAAAGAGGAGUUUAGAGAGCUCUCAGCCUAAUGCUGGGAGUUUCAACCCAAGUCAGAAACCUUGUAAUGAAAUAGGAUACGCUUGAGAAAAUAUAUUGUAGUGGAUUAUAAUAUGUUGUAUGAAGUUAUUUUCAUAUCUGCUAAGAUGUGUUGUUAUGGUUGAAGAGUCUAAAUUAUAAUUACACUAUGUUAUUAGGACCUUUUUUGUGAUUUUCCCACUAAUAAAACAAAUAUUAUUUAUCCCAAUGUUGUACUCUUUAAC